This 406-nucleotide ribosomal RNA is filed under the name uncultured bacterium. Its description in RNAcentral is "partial 16S ribosomal RNA". It matches the Rfam family "Bacterial small subunit ribosomal RNA", at positions 30 to 526 of the family's 1533-position model. The record is from RNAcentral.
AUUGAACGCUGGCGGCAGGCCUAACAAAUGCAAGUCGAACGAGUGGAAGACGGGUGAGUAAUGUCUGGGAAACUGCCUGAUGGAGGGGGAUAAAUACUGGAAACGGUAGCUAAUCCCGCAUACCAUCAGAUGUGCCCAGAUGGGAAUAGCUAGUUGUGGGGGUAAAGGCUCACUAGGGCGACGAUCCCUAGCUGGUCUGCGAGGAUGACCGGCCACACUGGAACUGAGACACGGUCCAUACUCCGACGUGAGGCAGCAGGGGGGAAGAGUGCACAAUGGGCGCAAGCCGGAUGCAGCCAUGCCGCGUGUAUGAAGAAGGCCUUCGGGUUGUAAAGUACUUUCAGCGUGGAGGCGUUACCCGCAGAAGAAGCACCGGCUAACUCCGUGCCAGCCACCGCGGUAAUAC